This 483-nucleotide ribosomal RNA is filed under the name Veillonella dispar. RNAcentral's name for it is "bacterial SSU rRNA". It matches the Rfam family "Bacterial small subunit ribosomal RNA", at positions 28 to 480 of the family's 1533-position model. Lineage: Bacteria; Bacillati; Bacillota; Negativicutes; Veillonellales; Veillonellaceae. The record is from RNAcentral.
GACGAACGCUGGCGGCGUGCUUAACACAUGCAAGUCGAACGAAGAGACUUGGAAGCUUGCUUCUAAGAAUCUUAGUGGCGAACGGGUGAGUAACGCGUAAUCAACCUGCCCUUCAGAGGGGGACAACAGUUGGAAACGACUGCUAAUACCGCAUACGAUCCAAUCUCGGCAUCGAGGAUGGAUGAAAGGUGGCCUCUAUUUAUAAGCUAUCACUGAAGGAGGGGAUUGCGUCUGAUUAGCUAGUUGGAGGGGUAACGGCCCACCAAGGCGAUGAUCAGUAGCCGGUCUGAGAGGAUGAACGGCCACAUUGGGACUGAGACACGGCCCAGACCCCUACGGGAGGCAGCAGUGGGGAAUCUUCCGCAAUGGACGAAAGUCUGACGGAGCAACGCCGCGUGAGUGAUGACGGCCUUCGGGUUGUAAAGCUCUGUUAAUCGGGACGAAAGGCCUUCUUGCGAAUAGUUAGAAGGAUUGACGGUACCG